This is a long non-coding RNA of Phyllostomus discolor (pale spear-nosed bat), 277 nucleotides long. RefSeq lists it as uncharacterized. NCBI's taxonomy places the organism in Eukaryota, Metazoa, Chordata, Mammalia, Chiroptera, Phyllostomidae. The record is from RefSeq and is a predicted model, not a curated record. The transcript has 3 exons.
AGAAAAUUUUUAGGGAAAUGGCACUAAAUGGUAUGACACUAAAAUGGUAGAUGCAUGUAAUUAUACGUUUGUCCAAACUCAGAAUAUAUAACACCAAGAGUGAUCUCUAAUAUGAACUAUGGAUUUUGGGUGAUAAUGAUGAGCAUUCAUUAGCUGUAACAAUGAUUUUGUUGUGGGGAGGUUGUGUGGAAGGGGAAGUGGGUAUAGUGUAACUCUCUGGACUUUCCAUUCAAUUUUGCUAUGGACCUAAAACUGCUCUAAAAAUUAAAGUCUAUUA